UACGUAGGGGGCAAGCGUUGUCCGGAAUCACUGGGCGUAAAGCGCACGUAGGCGGGUCGUUAAGUCGGGGGUGAAAUCCUGGAGCUCAACUCCAGAACUGCCUUCGAUACUGGCGAUCUUGGAGUCCGGGAGAGGUGGGUGGAACUGCGAGUGUAGAGGUGAAAUUCGUAGAUAUUCGCAAGAACACCAGUGGCGAAGGCGGCUCACUGGCCCGGUACUGACGCUGAGGUGCGAAAGCGUGGGGAGCAAACAGG
This 254-nucleotide ribosomal RNA is filed under the name uncultured bacterium. RNAcentral's name for it is "partial 16S ribosomal RNA". It matches the Rfam family "Bacterial small subunit ribosomal RNA", at positions 524 to 776 of the family's 1533-position model. The record is from RNAcentral.